GAAGGCCUGUAUAAUUUUAAUAUACAUCUACUGAAUGCAACUCAAACACUUUAACUAAGCUAAGACCUCCUAGAUCAACGG
Molecule: transfer RNA, 81 nt
Filed under: Dierogekko inexpectatus
Lineage: Eukaryota; Metazoa; Chordata; Lepidosauria; Squamata; Diplodactylidae
Description: tRNA-Ala
Source: RNAcentral